GCCCGGGCCCAGCCUCGUUCGGGGAGCGCCGGCCCAGUGCGCUUCCCGCCAACUCCCCCCGGGGCCUGCUGCUGAGGCCCGGCGCCGCCGCUGGAAGGCCAGAAGAGCACGGAGUGAUUAUAACAUGUUUGGUCUUCUUGCUGCGUCCACAUAAAACUUUGAAUUUCUGAGGAAGUACCUUUGAAAGAAAGUACUUCGCCAAACCAUUUGAACACUAUUUGCUAGAGCAGAAUGCACUCAUAUAUCCCUCAUGAAAGGGCUUUGCAGCAGCAGAAACAAUUAGACACACGAGCCAUGCAAGAAAGGAAAAGAGAAGAGAUACUAUACCAAAGGGCAGGGUGUGCUCAACCCAUGCAGGCUUGGUAAGCCUGGCUCCCCUUUAUCGCCUUUAAUAUUUCGAUCUCCCUGUUUAAAAAUGAACUGCUUGUUGAGAUUGAUGAAAGACACAGAAAAGUUACUUAAACAGACAUAAUUUCAUCAGCAACAGAAAGAAAAUGGGUUCAAAUUACUGUAAAUCUAUUUUUGAUGACAAGAAUAGCAAAUUCAUCUAGACACCAUCAACUCUGUCAUCAGACAAGCGUCUUAUAACUUUGUAACAGCAAAUUUAAAACCAUGGAAGUAAAAUAAUUUGACACACAAAGAAAGCUGAUCCACAGAAGCCAAAAUGAGUUACAAAUGCUGGUAUAGCUUAUGCCAGUUUCCUGAACAAAGUAAGGUAUGCCGACAAAAGCACUUCUUUGCUGGUAUAUUUGCGUCUAUGCCAGAGCUUUUGCCAGCACAGCUCUGUUGGUCAGAGGUAGGGAGAAGGAAGGAAAAAAAAAUCACAUCUCUGACUGACAAGCUAUGUUGGCAAAAGUUUCAAGUGUAGACCAGGCCUAACAAAGAAUCGUACCUUGUUUAAAGCAUGUACCUCACAGUAGAUCAGUAUGGCUGGAAUAAGUUUUAACCACUGAUUUAAACAAUGUUACUUUAAUACAUAAAAAAAGUAACUCAUCCAUAAUUCUCAAAGCAUUUUACCAAGAUGGAUAAGCACCAACACACCCAUUCUACAGGUAUAAAGAAAAGAGUAGUUUAGAAAAGGAGGACUACCUUGACCUGAAGAGCUUUGUGUAGCUGACAGCUUGUCUCUUUCACCAACAGAAGUUGGUCCAAUAAAAGCUAUUAACUC
Long non-coding RNA from Mauremys mutica (yellowpond turtle), 1168 nucleotides. RefSeq lists it as uncharacterized. Lineage: Eukaryota; Metazoa; Chordata; Testudines; Geoemydidae. The transcript has 3 exons. The record is from RefSeq and is a predicted model, not a curated record.